RNAcentral lists this transfer RNA (72 nucleotides) under Acidimicrobiaceae bacterium. RNAcentral's name for it is "tRNA-Gly". RNAcentral also lists the same sequence under 2 other names. Lineage: Bacteria; Bacillati; Actinomycetota; Acidimicrobiia; Acidimicrobiales; Acidimicrobiaceae. The record is from RNAcentral.
AGCUCACGGACAUCCUGGACGUUGAGCAUCGCCUUGCCAAGGUGAGGGUCGCGAGUUCGAGUCUCGUCAUCC